AGCUGUCCCUAGUACGAGAGGACCGGGACGGACAGACCUCUGGUGUGCGGGUUGUCCUGCCAAGGGCAUAGCCCGGUAGCUAAGUCUGGAAGGGAUAAGCGCUGAAAGCAUCUAAGUGCGAAGCCCACCCCAAGAUGAGACUUCCCAUCCCGUAAAGGGAGUAAGGCCGCAGAUAGAAGAUCUGCUUGAUAGGCUGCACGUGUAAGUCCUGUAAGGGAUUCAGCCGAGCAGUACUAAUGGCCGAGGGCUUAAGCCAA
This 257-nucleotide ribosomal RNA is filed under the name Dehalococcoidales bacterium. Its description in RNAcentral is "partial 23S ribosomal RNA". It matches the Rfam family "Bacterial large subunit ribosomal RNA", at positions 2670 to 2925 of the family's 2925-position model. Lineage: Bacteria; Bacillati; Chloroflexota; Dehalococcoidia; Dehalococcoidales. The record is from RNAcentral.